Non-coding RNA from Camellia sinensis, 3620 nucleotides. The record is from RefSeq and is a predicted model, not a curated record. Lineage: Eukaryota; Viridiplantae; Streptophyta; Magnoliopsida; Ericales; Theaceae.
UAAAGGUAAAUUAAUAAAUCGACAGGGCCAAAAUUUGAGCUGCCCCAACACCUCUACGUGUUAGCGUUCAUGGCGAAGGUGGCGACCUAUAAAUCGGAAACCUUCUCUGUUGAUAUAUGUGUUCGGUGAAAUUCCUGAAUGAAAAAGAGAGAAUGGGGAUCUCCUUCAAGGUGGCAAAGUCAGGAACUAGGUAUAGGCCAAAGUUGCUUCAAUUUGAGGACAAAGAAAUUGAUAAUGACCCAACAACUGACUCUCAAUAUCGAGAAAAUGAGGGUGAUCUCGUUGGAUUAGGAGAUAAAGUUACAGACUAUUCACAUGCAUUGGCCAAGCCUGGAUUGCGCUCGGUUUCAGAAGCAGUUCCAGAGGUUUCCUUUUCACUGAACUUGUUUCCAAGUGGCUUCUCUGUUGGAAAACCCUAUCAGUUGUUUGACAACAUUCCCAAGCAGUUGCAUCCCUAUGACAGGGCAUCAGAGAUCCUUUUCUGUGCAAUUGAGAGUGGGUGCUUACCAGGAGAUAUUUUUGAUGAUCUUCCCUGCAAAUAUGUCAAUGGAGCUCUUUUGUGUGAGAUUAAAGAUUACCGAAAUAUCUUUUCCCAAAAGGGAGACACAGCUUCUUCAGCAGAGAAUUCUCCAGUUAUAUACAAAAAGGUCCUGCAGAUGUGUAUGGAGAGUGUUGUCAAGGACAUCUCAUUAGUCUCAGAUGAUUCUUGGACCUACAAUGAUCUACUGGAAUUUGAGUCCCGAAUUCUCAAGGCUCUGCGGCCUGAUCUUCAUUUGGAUCCAAAGCCAAUGCUGGAUAGAUUUUGUGAGGAACCUCUGGCAGAGAAGCUCAAUUUAGGAAUUUCCUGGAAUAGAAAAAAAAGAAAGCUCAAUGAUGCAUCCACAAUAGACCAAGUUUCCAGCUACCUAUCCCCUAGAUUCCAAGUGUCAGAAGUUUGUGCACCCCGGAAUUCAAACAUUCAAUCUGAUGUAGAAUUCCAAGAUAGAGUUCAAUAUUCUAAACUUGUCUCCAGCUCUAUCACUACUUCACAGAGAAAUUAUGUUCUCCAAGAGAACAUGUCACAAUCUUCUCUUUUAACAUCCCAGGCAAACUAUCAAUUAGCAGUUACUUACAAUCAAUUUCCUUCUGGAGCUCUAACACCAUCAAAUACUAUCUCUGCACACAAACCAAAUCAUGGUAACACUGAUCCAAGAAUACCCAGCUCGUUGACCCUUGGUGAGCGGAGAAGAUAUGGAAUAGCAAACCGAGGACCUAUUAGUGAGAAACCAAAUCAAGAACCACUGGACUUCUCUGAAGAGCAGCUUCCAGAGUUCCAAGCUGAAACCAAGCUUGCCAUUGAACUACAGAGGAAAAACAAAAGGGUACAUCAACGGAUUGAAGCUGAAGGGAUUUCACAUGAAAGAAUUCAUGAGAAGAUGCAUCCGUCACUGUCAAGAAAAAAUGGACAACAAGCAAUCCUUGAAGGUAUUCCAAAGCCGCAGCCUGAAAUGCUUACUUUUAGAAAGAAAGAAGAACCAAUUGAAUUUGGUAGUUUUCCAAGUUUGAAUGAUGGGAACGCCAAAGAUAACAGCCAUAUAAUGGAUAUGAGAAAUGAUCAAUCUAAUCUUCUGCAAUCACAGCUGCUGCCAUUAUCAGUCCCUGCUAAUGCAAUGCAGUGGAAUCACAUGACUGAGUCUAUUGGAAAGAAUAUAACAAAUGAAAAAGUUGUCACUCAGGGUCAGAAGGGGAAAGCUUUGCCACAUUCUCUAGUUUCUUCUGGUGAUGUAAAUGCAUCGGUACAUUCUUGUCUUGAUAAUUCUUUGCCAAAAGAGGCACCUCUCCGGACGAAGAGAAAAUCAAAUUCUCUUCUUAAAGGCAGUAUGCAAAAAGUAGAAACUCUUGCAGGCACUAGCGCAAUGAAUACUGCCAAUACAGUUUACCUUCCAGUGGGAACUCCCUUACCCUGGCCUUCGGUACUUGAUGACCCUGUCCUUGAGACUCCCAUGCUUUCAGGAAUUAGUGAUCCCGUGCUUGAUAGGAUUUCAAAAGUGAAAACGGUGACUCAGAGGUAUGCACUGAAUAACAGGAAACGUAAGUUCAGUCAGGUUAUUGAAAGGAAGUUCUUUUCCUGCACAGCUCAAUUGGUAGCUUCCGGGAUAAUGAACUCUGAGGAUAAGAACUUCGGAGAUGGUAACUCAGAUACAACUUCUCAUUUGGAUUGCUCCUCGGAAAAUAAUCAUAACCUCUUUAAGACUAGGAAUGUUACAUUUAUACGCUCAUAUCAUGUUUCUCAAGGAAAUGAUAUUGCCAAUAGUGAGGCUCAAAACAAACUCACCAUAUUGGAGAAGCUUGACGAGGGAAUAGUGGAAGCAACUGUUAUUUAUGAUCAAGAAAAGUUUGAUCGCAUUGAGUUGCAUCUCUUAGAAACCUUCACUAACACUCAUCAUGCAGACCUGUUUGCCUCUCAGUUCAGCUCACUGAUGAUGCGUGAAGGAUAUCAUCUAGCUGGUGAUCGAAUAGAAUCUGCACCCCUUGUUAUUGACGAAAGCUCUACUAGUCAACAACAAACCGUUACUACUACUGCUACUCCAGCGGCUGAACAGGUCGAGCUAGUUCCCCCAACUCUGGCCCAUGGGAAAUUUCCUUACACGUUUAAUCCAAUGAACAGUAGCGUAUCUACCUAUAACCCUAGAAAAUUACCAUCACAGAAUAAUUUUUCUGGCAAUUUCAACUCUGCUUUACCGGUAUCAGCUGGUUGUUUCUCCAACCCACCACUCGAAAUUGCUUCACAUAUUAUGAAUAAGCGUGCCUUUUCACAGUUACAGAUGAUGCGAAGAUAUAGGCUACAACAACAUCUUUUGAAGAAGACGCGGAUGAUGGAAGAAUUUGGUGCUGCAACAGGUUACCCAGGGACCAUGCAAUUAGGUGAUGGGGCCCAGGGGCUUGGAAAUAUCGAUCUUAAUUCAUUUGGUAGCAUUGUGGGCACAGGGGGUACUCAAGCUGCAGUUUUAGGAAGGAUGAGAACAUCAGAAAAUGGAGGAAGAGCGUUCAAUGAGUAGAUUUUCAAUUGAUGGAAGCGCUGAUGUGGCGCCAACAUGUCAACCUAAUGUUCCUGGGGUGGCAUAUCAUGCAAUCAACCAGUGGCCACCACCAAUACAGAUGCAACAUCAAUUUUAUAUGAGGUCACUACUCCAGCCUCCAGAAACAACCAGCUGGACUGAGCAUGGUAGUUCACCUCUUAGUCUCUCAAGUCUGAUUCAAAUGGAGCAACAUUCCCAAAUUAGCUCUGUAUCAGUGCCUCAUCCAAUGGAUUCUGGGAAUAGUUGCAGCACAAGCUCGCCCAUGGAGUUGCGUAGAAGUGGCCAAACUGGUGGGGUCAAAUGAUGAAGAAUUUUGGAUAAUCCGGUUUUCCUCAUCCAGAUUUACUGUCACAGCAAUAUUGAGGACAUACCAAAGCCCUUUCACCACAAUUCACAUGAUUUAUAUUUCAAAUCCAGUCCUAUUGGCACUCCAUUGACUAAUUGUUUUCUUAAAGUGUGAAGCCAAAAACACAUCUAUUGUCAAAUAUAUGAGGCUUCAAAUCUGAUCAUAACUUGUUUUAUUUUGCUUAAUGUGUUAGUAUAUCAGUGUUACUUAUCAAA